RNAcentral lists this ribosomal RNA (212 nucleotides) under uncultured Paracoccus sp. RNAcentral's name for it is "partial 16S ribosomal RNA". It matches the Rfam family "Bacterial small subunit ribosomal RNA", at positions 284 to 524 of the family's 1533-position model. The record is from RNAcentral. Lineage: Bacteria; Pseudomonadati; Pseudomonadota; Alphaproteobacteria; Rhodobacterales; Paracoccaceae.
CGCCCGCCGCGCGCGGCGGGCGGGGCGGGGGCACGGGGGGACUCCUACGGGAGGCAGCAGUGGGGAAUUUUGGACAAUGGGGGCAACCCUGAUCCAGCCAUGCCGCGUGAGUGAUGAAGGCCUUAGGGUUGUAAAGCUCUUUCAGCUGUGAAGAUAAUGACGGUAGCAGCAGAAGAAGUCCCGGCUAACUCCGUGCCAGCAGCCGCGGUAAU